CACGUAGGGGGCAAGCGUUGUCCGGAUUUAUUGGGCGUAAAGAGCUCGUAGGCGGUUCGAUAAGUCGGGUGUGAAAACUCUGGGCUCAACUCAGAGACGCCACCCGAUACUGUUGUGACUUGAGUCCGGUAGGGGAGUAUGGAAUUUCCGGUGUAGCGGUGAAAUGCGCAGAUAUCGGAAGGAACACCAGCAGCGAAGGCGGUACUCUGGGCCGGAACUGACGCUGAGGAGCGAAAGCGUGGGGAGCGAACAGG
Molecule: ribosomal RNA, 254 nt
Filed under: uncultured bacterium
Lineage: Bacteria
Description: partial 16S ribosomal RNA
Rfam family: Bacterial small subunit ribosomal RNA
Source: RNAcentral